UGGGGAAUCUUGCACAAUGGGGGAAACCCUGAUGCAGCGACGCCGCGUGAACGAUGAAGCCCUUCGGGGUGUAAAGUUCUUUCGACAGGAACGAUAAUGACGGUACCUGGAGAAGAAGCUGCGGCUAACUACGUGCCAGCAGCCGCGGUAAUACGUAGGCAGCGAGCGUUGUUCGGAGUUACUGGGCGUAAAGAGUGCGUAGGCGGCGAGCCAAGUUUGGUGUGAAAUCUCCCGGCUUAACCGUGAGGGUGCGCCGAAAACUGGUUGGCUGGAGUAUGGGAGAGGAAAGCGGAAUUCCUGGUGUAGCGGUGAAAUGCGUAGAUAUCAGGAGGAACACCUGCGGUGUAGACAGCUUUCUGGACCAAAACUGACGCUGAGGCACGAAAGCGUGGGUAGCAAACA
This 402-nucleotide ribosomal RNA is filed under the name uncultured bacterium. RNAcentral's name for it is "bacterial SSU rRNA". It matches the Rfam family "Bacterial small subunit ribosomal RNA", at positions 355 to 774 of the family's 1533-position model. The record is from RNAcentral.